UACGUAGGGUGCAAGCGUUGUCCGGAAUUAUUGGGCGUAAAGAGCUCGUAGGCGGUCUGUCGCGUCGGUCGUGAAAACUUGGGGCUUAACCCUGAGCUUGCGGUCGAUACGGGCAUGACUGGAGUUCGGUAGGGGAGACUGGAAUUCCUGGUGUAGCGGUGAAAUGCGCAGAUAUCAGGAGGAACACCAAUGGCGAAGGCAGCUCGCUGGGACGGUACUGACGCUGAGACGCGAAAGCGUGGGGAGCAAACAGG
RNAcentral lists this ribosomal RNA (254 nucleotides) under uncultured bacterium. Its description in RNAcentral is "partial 16S ribosomal RNA". It matches the Rfam family "Bacterial small subunit ribosomal RNA", at positions 524 to 776 of the family's 1533-position model. The record is from RNAcentral.